UACGUAGGUGGCAAGCGUUGUCCGGAUUUACUGGGCGUAAAGAGCGCGCAGGCGGUCGGAUAAGUCGAAUGUGAAAGCCCCCGGCUCAACUGGGGAGGGUCAUUCGAUACUGUUCGACUCGAAGGCAGGAGAGGGAAGUGGAAUUCCCGGUGUAGUGGUGAAAUGCGUAGAUAUCGGGAGGAACACCAGUGGCGAAGGCGACUUCCUGGCCUGUUCUUGACGCUGGGGCGCGAAAGCUAGGGGAGCAAACGGG
This 253-nucleotide ribosomal RNA is filed under the name uncultured bacterium. Its description in RNAcentral is "partial 16S ribosomal RNA". It matches the Rfam family "Bacterial small subunit ribosomal RNA", at positions 524 to 776 of the family's 1533-position model. The record is from RNAcentral.